This 763-nucleotide ribosomal RNA is filed under the name uncultured Leuconostoc sp. RNAcentral describes it as "bacterial SSU rRNA". It matches the Rfam family "Bacterial small subunit ribosomal RNA", at positions 100 to 851 of the family's 1533-position model. The record is from RNAcentral. Lineage: Bacteria; Bacillati; Bacillota; Bacilli; Lactobacillales; Lactobacillaceae.
GAACGGGUGAGUAACACGUGGAUAACCUGCCUCAAGGCUGGGGAUAACAUUUGGAAACAGAUGCUAAUACCGAAUAAAACUUAGUAUCGCAUGAUAUCAAGUUAAAAGGCGCUACGGCGUCACCUAGAGAUGGAUCCGCGGUGCAUUAGUUAGUUGGUGGGGUAAAGGCUUACCAAGACGAUGAUGCAUAGCCGAGUUGAGAGACUGAUCGGCCACAUUGGGACUGAGACACGGCCCAAACUCCUACGGGAGGCUGCAGUAGGGAAUCUUCCACAAUGGGCGCAAGCCUGAUGGAGCAACGCCGCGUGUGUGAUGAAGGCUUUCGGGUCGUAAAGCACUGUUGUAUGGAAGAAAUGCUAAAAUAGGGAAUGAUUUUAGUUUGACGGUACCAUACCAGAAAGGGACGGCUAAAUACGUGCCAGCAGCCGCGGUAAUACGUAUGUCCCGAGCGUUAUCCGGAUUUAUUGGGCGUAAAGCGAGCGCAGACGGUUGAUUAAGUCUGAUGUGAAAGCCCGGAGCUCAACUCCGGAAUGGCAUUGGAAACUGGUUAACUUGAGUGUUGUAGAGGUAAGUGGAACUCCAUGUGUAGCGGUGGAAUGCGUAGAUAUAUGGAAGAACACCAGUGGCGAAGGCGGCUUACUGGACAACAACUGACGUUGAGGCUCGAAAGUGUGGGUAGCAAACAGGAUUAGAUACCCUGGUAGUCCACACCGUAAACGAUGAAUACUAGGUGUUAGGAGGUUUCCGCCUCUUAGUGCCGAAG